CAGCCGCCGCGGGAAUACGUAGGUGGCGAGCGUUGUCCGGAAUUAUUGGGCGUAAAGGGAGCGCAGGCGGACAUAUAAGUCCAUCUUAAAAGUGCGGGGCUCAACCCCGUGAGGGGUGGAAACUGUAUGCCUUGAGUGCAGGAGAGGAAAGCGGAAUUCCCAGUGUAGCGGUGAAAUGCGUAGAUAUUUGGAGGAACAUCGGUGGCGAAGGCGACCUUCUGGACUGUUACUGACGCUGAGAUCCGAAAGCGUGGGGAUCAAACAGGAUUAGAUACCCCCGUAGUCCCUGUCUCUUAUACAC
RNAcentral lists this ribosomal RNA (301 nucleotides) under uncultured bacterium. Its description in RNAcentral is "partial 16S ribosomal RNA". It matches the Rfam family "Bacterial small subunit ribosomal RNA", at positions 509 to 809 of the family's 1533-position model. The record is from RNAcentral.